Molecule: long non-coding RNA, 2147 nt
Organism: Pogona vitticeps (central bearded dragon)
Lineage: Eukaryota; Metazoa; Chordata; Lepidosauria; Squamata; Agamidae
Source: Ensembl
UCUCCCUCUAUUCCUAAUUCAAAUUUCCCCAUGCUUGCAGCACUGGAGCCACAGUCAGACAGGUUAACCCUUGGUUUUGCACAUUCAGAUAAGCCUGAGUGACAGAAGCCUUGGACAGUCUCAUUUUAUAAAUCAAACCCAUCACAUACAAUUCUUCUAUUAAUCCCUUAAUACUUUCAAGAUUAUGCAGCAUAGAAGAUAAUGGCCCAGAACUGCACUUUAAGGAGCAAGUCAAAUCUGCCAAUUGCACCAGUCCCAGGUAAAUAAAUAGGAAUGACCCAACAAACCAAUUAACUUCCACAGAAACCACAUUCCUGUACGUAGCCAUUCAGGCUUUAAAAACAAAGAAACACCAAUCCAUAUUCUGGAAAAAUAGCCCGUUUCCGACUGGGCAAACCAAUCAAAUUUACAUUCUCGAAGGCUUUCACAGUCGGGAUCUGAUGGUUGUUGUAGGUUUUUCGGGCUGUUUGUCCAUGUUCUGAAGGUUGUUCUUCCUAAUGUUUGGCCAGUCUCUGUGCCCGGCAUCUUCAGAGGAUAGGAGUCAGAAAUCUCUCUGUGCCCUGGUGCAGUUUGUGGGAUAGUUUAGUAUUUGUAGCUGUGGGAUCAGCUUUUGCCCUUUUCAGGAGAUUGAGAGAUUAUAGUGAUCAGCGUGCUUUUUUUGUUGUGGAUGUAUUGCUGUGAUAACAACCCCCCUAUCACAACAAUACAUCCACAACAAAAACACGCUAAUCACCAUAAUCACCCAGUCUCCUGAAAAGGACAAAAGUUGAUCCCACAGCUAUAAAUACUCAUUACUAAGAGGGCAGGAUUAGCAAUGUACUUGUGUUGUUGUUGUUGUUUUAAAUCUUCAUUUUCAAAAUCUCACUCGUACGCAUCAUUUGUGGGGAAAUGUAUGUAAUCAUUUCAUCAGCGUUUGUAAACAGUGUAAUUUUUUUGCUACUCCCACCUCUCUCAUUAUUUUUUUUAAAAAGCUAAUCUUUUUCCUUCCACACCCAUGAGCAGCAAAACAGAUUUGAUUUUCCCAGAAUGCCCUGGCGUUGGUAUAAUUUCACAGCUGAAGUGCAAUGCUCAAGGCAUUCUGGGGAAACGAAGUGGCAGCUACCAGGAGGAAGAGCCACUCAAAUACCUUCUGCUAUUGGCAGUUGCUAAGAAACAGGCUCAAAAAUCCUCCCUCAGACGAACUGAAAUGCGAUGGUACCUCAAGAGGUCUAACACACAAGGACAGCAUGAAGCAACACCAUGGACUUUGCCAAGGAUGCAGCUACAAUUAAUUAGUAAUUAUCUGCCAUCAAAUCACUGCUGAGAGGCCACAAUUCUCAGAAUCACCUCAUGAUUUUGGACAUUAUCAUCCAAUACAAGAUGUUUUCGAACCUCUGCUCAUUUGUCCGAUCGAACUCGACGCGGCCAGUUUGCUAUUAAAACGGAUGGCAAAAUAUUCAAGACAGUUGGCGUCAGGACAUUAUUGUUCACUUCCCGAAUGUGUUUCAUGCUCCCUGCUUUCCUAAGCUAGAUAUGAAAGCUCAGUUUCUUUGAAAUCCAAGACCUGGACCCAGCGCCCAAGCAGUGUGGAGGUGAAGCACCUACCUUUCCAGUAAUCUCAAAUGCUGCACACAACUAAACCUCUUUUUUAACCCAUGGGGUUUACUCUAAUCUCUAAAGCAGCCGGAGUGUGCAGAGAAUUGCAGCUUACCUGGUCACUAGUUUGUGCCUUUUCCAUCUUCUUCCCAGAUGGUUCAUUUCUGGAUCUCUUUUGUUACAGAAGACCGUGAGUGAUGGCCUUUCAGCACCAUGAGUAUUGGAUAUUUUAGGGGGUGGGGAGAGGGAGGGGGAACCAACCUCCCCAGACAGUAAGACCAGGUCCAGCACCCCUAUAAAAGACAUAGCCUUGUGGGCAAAGAACUAAUUGCUAAAGAAUGAAGCAGAGGCUGAAGAUUUAGCAGGGUAGAUAAAACUAGACGUAGGUGUAGAUUAGACAAACUGGUGUACAAUCUUCCAUGCUGGUGUGGGGCGUGGGUAGAAGUGCUGGUGUAGGAGGCUCCAACCACUACUAACCCAUUUUUAUUUUCAAUGAUCACAAGAGAGUUUCCCCAUUUAAAAAAAAACAACUUUUAAAUAAAACAUGGGGAAUCACAUGAGUGGGUGUGUCC